RNAcentral lists this ribosomal RNA (498 nucleotides) under uncultured bacterium. RNAcentral's name for it is "partial 16S ribosomal RNA". It matches the Rfam family "Bacterial small subunit ribosomal RNA", at positions 28 to 507 of the family's 1533-position model. The record is from RNAcentral.
GAUGAACGCUGGCGGCGUGCCCAAUACAUGCAAGUCGAGCGAACGGACGAGAAGCUUGCUUCUCUGAUGUUAGCGGCGGACGGGUGAGUAACACGUGGAUAACCUACCUAUAAGACUGGGAUAACUUCGGGGAAACCGGAGCUAAUACCGGAUAAUAUUUUGAACCGCAUGGUUCAAAAGUGAAAGACGGUCUUGCUGUCACUUAUAGAUGGAUCCGCGCUGCAUUAGCUAGUUGGUAAGGUAACGGCUUACCAAGGCAACGAUGCAUAGCCGACCUGAGAGGGUGAUCGGCCACACUGGAACUGAGACACGGUCCAGACUCCUACGGGAGGCAGCAGUAGGGAAUCUUCCGCAAUGGGCGAAAGCCUGACGGAGCAACGCCGCGUGAGUGAUGAAGGUCUUCGGAUCGUAAAACUCUGUUAUUAGGGAAGAACAUAUGUGUAAGUAACUGUGCACAUCUUGACGGUACCUAAUCAGAAAGCCACGGCUAACUACGUG